GGAUAACCUGCCCAAGGGUCCGGGAUAACCCCGGGAAACUGGGGAUAAUACCGGAUGGAUCACUUAUGCUGGAAUGCUUGGUGGUCGAAAGGUGACGCCCUUGGAUGGGUCUGCGGCGGAUUAGGUUGACGCCGGUGUAACGUACCGGCGUGCCUGUAAUCCGUACGGGUUGUGGGAGCAAGAGCCCGGAGAUGGAUUCUGAGACACGAAUCCAGGCCCUACGGGGCGCAGCAGGCGCGAAAACUCUACAAUGCAGGCAACUGCGAUAGGGGGACAUCGAGUGGCAUCCACCUUGGGUGCCUGUCCCACCGUCUAAAAAACGGUGGUUAGCAAGGGCCGGGCAAGACCGGUGCCAGCCGCCGCGGUAAUACCGGCGGCUCGAGUGGUGGCCGAUAUUAUUGAGUCUAAAGGGUCCGUAGCCGGCUUUGCAAGUCCCCUGGGAAAUCCAGCGGCUUAACCGUUGGGCUUUCAUGGGAUACUACAUUGCUUGGGACUGGGAGAGGUAGGAGGUACUCGGGGGGUAGGGGUGAAAUCCUGUAAUCCCCCGGGGACCACCGGUGGCGAAGGCGUCCUACCAGAACAGGUCCGACGGUGAGGGACGAAAGCUAGGGGCACGAACCGGAUUAGAUACCCGGGUAGUCCUAGCCGUAAACGAUGCCCGCUAGGUGUCACGGCGGUCGUGAAUCGCCGUGGUGCCGUAGGGAAGCCGCGAAGCGGGCCACUUGGGAAGUACGGCCGCAAGGCUGAAACU
RNAcentral lists this ribosomal RNA (751 nucleotides) under uncultured archaeon. RNAcentral describes it as "bacterial SSU rRNA". It matches the Rfam family "Archaeal small subunit ribosomal RNA", at positions 102 to 856 of the family's 1478-position model. The record is from RNAcentral.